This 398-nucleotide ribosomal RNA is filed under the name uncultured bacterium. RNAcentral describes it as "partial 16S ribosomal RNA". It matches the Rfam family "Bacterial small subunit ribosomal RNA", at positions 523 to 918 of the family's 1533-position model. The record is from RNAcentral.
AUACGUAGGGUGCGAGCGUUGUCCGGAAUUACUGGGCGUAAAGAGCUCGUAGGUGGUUUGUCGCGUCGUCUGUGAAAUUCCGGGGCUUAACUCCGGGCGUGCAGGCGAUACGGGCAUAACUUGAGUACUGUAGGGGAGACUGGAAUUCCUGGUGUAGCGGUGAAAUGCGCAGAUAUCAGGAGGAACACCGGUGGCGAAGGCGGUUCUCUGGGCAGUAACUGACGCUGAGGAGCGAAAGCAUGGGUAGCGAACAGGAUUAGAUACCCUGGUAGUCCAUGCCGUAAACGGUGGGCGCUAGGUGUAGGGGUCUUCCACGACUUCUGUGCCGUAGCUAACGCAUUAAGCGCCCCGCCUGGGGAGUACGGCCGCAAGGCUAAAACUCAAAGGAAUUGACGGGG